GAAGAGCUCAGGUGGAGUUCGAGUUUCGUCGACGUCGCGCCGUGGUGCCGUUCGAGCGUGUCUUCGUCGUCGUAGCAUCGCGAGGAGACUGGGCGAAGGUGCGAUUCCGCCGUUCUCGACGUCGCGCCGGAUUGGGAUUAGCUAUCGAGGUGGGUUAAUCGUCGAUUUGUCUUCUAAGUGUAUAGUUGGUUGACAUGUGUUGUUGUGUUGAUAGA
Molecule: long non-coding RNA, 215 nt
Filed under: Ananas comosus (pineapple)
Lineage: Eukaryota; Viridiplantae; Streptophyta; Magnoliopsida; Poales; Bromeliaceae
Description: long non-coding RNA (ACOM_LNC002254)
Source: RNAcentral